UAUACCGAAACCUAUCUGGUUCUAUGGAAUCACCCUAUGGGGUUCGACCAAAUCAUCAAACACCAGAACCAGUGCCGCAACUUUGUAUAAUAUUGGUGGGCGUGCAAGCAAAUAUAUAGGGCCCAUGUACAGUGACGCCUAAAACGUAAUAUAAACGAUUUCGAUUUUUUUGGAAAUUGAAUUAGCGUCAAAUUCCUGCAGUAAUAAUUUUUUUUUCUGAUUUUUUUGAUAAAUACCGGGAAUAUUUACUAGACAUAAUUUACCAAAUUCUUCAGCCAUAUUAGCAAUAUGAAAUAUUAUUUGUCUUAAGGGGCCGUUACAGUGAAUUUGUUGUCUUCGUCUUACAAGUGCAUAGCGUAGCAAAUUUUACGCUCAGCAGAACACGUUUAUCUCCUGUUAGUUUAAAAAUUAGAGAGAAUUUACCUCUUAUAAAAUUUAAAGAUAAAAAUUAAGGAAUCCAAAUUUGGUGGGUGUUGGUGAUAGAUACAGUGGAGAUACUUGGAUUUUGAAUAGAUCCAAGGACCGAUUACGAUCAGUUACUAAAGAACUAUCAUCAUUGUUUCGUAUUCAUUCUCAAGCGCCAGAAUUUGGAGUACAUUUUUUUACUACUGAACAGGUAGAAAAUAAUGAGCCUAUAACACUACCAACACUCCCAAACUAUGAUGAGUUUGAAGACAAAAAUACAAUAGGCGUUUCAAAUACUUUAGCUGCAUAUAGUGUAAGUAAGACAGGUAAAGAAGAUGGAC
Long non-coding RNA from Metopolophium dirhodum (rose-grain aphid), 746 nucleotides. RefSeq lists it as uncharacterized. Lineage: Eukaryota; Metazoa; Arthropoda; Insecta; Hemiptera; Aphididae. The transcript has 3 exons. The record is from RefSeq and is a predicted model, not a curated record.